RNAcentral lists this ribosomal RNA (253 nucleotides) under uncultured bacterium. Its description in RNAcentral is "partial 16S ribosomal RNA". It matches the Rfam family "Bacterial small subunit ribosomal RNA", at positions 524 to 776 of the family's 1533-position model. The record is from RNAcentral.
UACGUAGGGAGCAAGCGUUAUCCGGAUUUAUUGGGUGUAAAGGGUGCGUAGACGGGUAUAUAAGUUAGUUGUGAAAUCCCUCGGCUCAACUGAGGGACUGCAACUAAAACUGUAAAUCUUGAGUGCGGGAGAGGAAAGUGGAAUUCCUAGUGUAGCGGUGAAAUGCGUAGAUAUUAGGAGGAACACCAGUGGCGAAGGCGACUUUCUGGACCGUAACUGACGUUGAGGCACGAAAGUGUGGGGAGCAAACAGG